CCUACGGGUGGCAGCAGUCGAGAAUCAUUCACAAUGGGGGAAACCCUGAUGGUGCGACGCCGCGUGGGGGAAUGAAGGUCUUCGGAUUGUAAACCCCUGUCAUGUGGGAGCAAAUUAAAAAGAUCGUACCACAAGAGGAAGAGACGGCUAACUCUGUGCCAGCAGCCGCGGUAAUACAGAGGUCUCAAGCGUUGUUCGGAAUCACUGGGCGUAAAGCGUGCGUAGGCGGUUUCGUAAGUCGUGUGUGAAUGGCGCGGGCUCAACCCGCGGACGGCACAUGAUACUGCGAGACUAGAGUAAGGGAGGGGGAACCGGAAUUCUCGGUGUAGCAGUGAAAUGCGUAGAUAUCGAGAGGAACACUCGUGGCGAAGGCGGGUUCCUGGACAUUAACUGACGCUGAGGCACGAAGGCCAGGGGAGCGAAAGGGAUUAGAUACCCUUGUAGUC
This 446-nucleotide ribosomal RNA is filed under the name uncultured bacterium. RNAcentral describes it as "partial 16S ribosomal RNA". It matches the Rfam family "Bacterial small subunit ribosomal RNA", at positions 338 to 795 of the family's 1533-position model. The record is from RNAcentral.